CCAUUAAACUUUUCCAUAGUAAACAAUUUGAGAGGUAGAAGUCUACUAGGAAUUUAAGUGAGAAGCAGGUGACAGUCCCACUGGUUCAGCUCAGUUUCUCCUCCUAGUGGUCACAAAGGGAAGGUGCCUGCCCUCUGGUGGCAUUUCUUCAAGGAAUCCUGUUACUUAAACACGGAAUAUUCCUAUGAAGAAAUACAUGAUACCAGUGAAAAGUGCUCAAUUUUAAGUCAUAAGUGAAUUUCCAAUUACUUUUGCCUCCCACUUAAAGCAUCUCCUCCUUUUUAAAAGUUGACCAUAAAACAUUUUUACGUUGCAAGGUUGCCGAACACAAUCCAAAUGAAACAGUAACAAUGCAUGUCUAAAGCUUAUCUGGGUGUGCCACAAUCAUUUUUAACACAAAUUCUUUAAAAAGGUGUUAAGUAUCAUGGUGCAUUAAAUCACUGCAUGGAACUUGACAUGUAUUGGCAAA
This 469-nucleotide long non-coding RNA is filed under the name Bos taurus (domestic cattle). RNAcentral's name for it is "long non-coding RNA NONBTAT021857". The record is from RNAcentral. Lineage: Eukaryota; Metazoa; Chordata; Mammalia; Artiodactyla; Bovidae.